ACCUCCAAAGUGAUUGUGAAU
RNAcentral lists this microRNA (21 nucleotides) under Schmidtea mediterranea. RNAcentral describes it as "sme-miR-752-5p". Its record names the gene sme-miR-752-5p. Lineage: Eukaryota; Metazoa; Platyhelminthes; Tricladida; Dugesiidae. The record is from miRBase by way of RNAcentral.